AUACGAGAACAUAUAUCCCAAAUAUCUUUCAGAUACAUACGGACAAACGAACAUGGCCAGAUCAACCAGAGGAUACCGGAAAAUACAAGCCAAUCUGUUAUUUUGAACUCACCUCCACAUAGGAGACUGGGAAAAUGCCCUUGCGAUUGGCUAUUUUUCCCUCAAACCAAUUGCCAUCGACGCGACGGGUGAGUGUGACCAGUUCACCCUUGUUGAGGGACAACUCGACACCGGACUGAGCCUGGAAGUUGUACUUGGCCCGUGCCUGACCCUCCGAGGGACGCUUGGAAGGCGUGCGAGCUCCAUCGCGACUGACAAUCUGUUAACAGACGAGUUUUAAUUGAUUUAUAAAUAAUUGUUUAAUUACAAUGAGAAACUUACCUCCACAUAA
Drosophila grimshawi is the source of this 391-nucleotide long non-coding RNA. RefSeq lists it as uncharacterized. The transcript is spliced from 2 exons. Lineage: Eukaryota; Metazoa; Arthropoda; Insecta; Diptera; Drosophilidae. The record is from RefSeq and is a predicted model, not a curated record.